Molecule: ribosomal RNA, 165 nt
Filed under: Diaphanosoma sp. IW-2015-1
Lineage: Eukaryota; Metazoa; Arthropoda; Branchiopoda; Diplostraca; Sididae
Description: partial 16S ribosomal RNA
Source: RNAcentral
UAUAGAGCUUUAAUACAUACACCAGACAAGCAUAAUAUGUGAUAUCUUAACUGGUUAUUUAUUUUUGUUGGGGCGACAGAGAGAUAAAUAAAACACUCUUUUUUAAAAAAUAUUUAUAAAUAAACCAAUGAUCCUUAAUUCAAGAUAAAAGACUAAGUUACCUUA